Molecule: ribosomal RNA, 760 nt
Filed under: uncultured Pseudomonadota bacterium
Lineage: Bacteria; Pseudomonadati; Pseudomonadota
Description: bacterial SSU rRNA
Rfam family: Bacterial small subunit ribosomal RNA
Source: RNAcentral
GAUUGAACGCUGGCGGCAGGCCUAACACAUGCAAGUCGAACAGUAACAGGAAGAAGCUUGCUUCUUUGCUGACGAGUGGCGGACGGGUGAGUAAUGUCUGGGAAACUGCCUGAUGGAGGGGGAUAACUACUGGAAACGGUAGCUAAUACCGCAUAACGUCGCAAGACCAAAGAGGGGGACCUUCGGGCCUCUUGCCAUCGGAUGUGCCCAGAUGGGAUUAGCUAGUAGGUGGGGUAACGGCUCACCUAGGCGACGAUCCCUAGCUGGUCUGAGAGGAUGACCAGCCACACUGGAACUGAGACACGGUCCAGACUCCUACGGGAGGCAGCAGUGGGGAAUAUUGCACAAUGGGCGCAAGCCUGAUGCAGCCAUGCCGCGUGUAUGAAGAAGGCCUUCGGGUUGUAAAGUACUUUCAGCGGGGAGGAAGGGAGUAAAGUUAAUACCUUUGCUCAUUGACGUUACCCGCAGAAGAAGCACCGGCUAACUCCGUGCCAGCAGCCGCGGUAAUACGGAGGGUGCAAGCGUUAAUCGGAAUUACUGGGCGUAAAGCGCACGCAGGCGGUUUGUUAAGUCAGAUGUGAAAUCCCCGGGCUCAACCUGGGAACUGCAUCUGAUACUGGCAAGCUUGAGUCUCGUAGAGGGGGGUAGAAUUCCAGGUGUAGCGGUGAAAUGCGUAGAGAUCUGGAGGAAUACCGGUGGCGAAGGCGGCCCCCUGGACGAAGACUGACGCUCAGGUGCGAAAGCGUGGGGAGCAAACAGG